AUUGAACGCUGGCGGCAGGCCUAACACAUGCAAGUCGAACGGUAACAGGAAGAAGCUUGCUUCUUUGCUGACGAGUGGCGGACGGGUGAGUAAUGUCUGGGAAACUGCCUGAUGGAAGGGGAUAACUACUGGAAACGGUAGCUAAUACCGCAUAAUGUCGCAAGACCAAAGAGGGGGACCUUCGGGCCUCUUGCCAUCGGAUGUGCCCAGAUGGGAUUAGCUAGUAGGUGGGGUAACGGCUCACCUAGGCGACGAUCCCUAGCUGGUCUGAGAGGAUGACCAGCCACACUGGAACUGAGACACGGUCCAGACUCCUACGGGAGGCAGCAGUGGGGAAUAUUGCACAAUGGGCGCAAGCCUGAUGCAGCUAUGCCGCGUGUAUGAAGAAGGCCUUCGGGUUGUAAAGUACUUUCAGCGGGGAGGAAGGGAGUAAAGUUAAUACCUUUGCUCAUUGACGUUACCCGCAGAAGAAGCACCGGCUAACUCCGUG
This 490-nucleotide ribosomal RNA is filed under the name uncultured bacterium. RNAcentral describes it as "partial 16S ribosomal RNA". It matches the Rfam family "Bacterial small subunit ribosomal RNA", at positions 30 to 507 of the family's 1533-position model. The record is from RNAcentral.